AAUAAGUGCAGUUUUGCACUAUUCACGUUCAAUGUUUGACCGUUUAUCUUAUUUGAAAAUUUUUUAUGAUUAGUAUUUUUGUUGCUAUUAGAUGAUAAAACAUGAAUAGUACUAAAUAUUUUCAAAUUUUUUAUAAAUUUUUCAAAUAAGAAGGACGGUCAAACGUUGGGCACGGAUAUCUAUGGCUGUAUUUAUU
Molecule: microRNA precursor, 196 nt
Filed under: Oryza sativa Indica Group (long-grained rice)
Lineage: Eukaryota; Viridiplantae; Streptophyta; Magnoliopsida; Poales; Poaceae
Description: MIR812 microRNA precursor family
Rfam family: MIR812 microRNA precursor family
Source: Rfam by way of RNAcentral